GAUGAACGCUGGCGGCGUGCCUAAUACACGCAAGUCGAGCGAACAGACGAGGAGCUUGCUCCUCUGACGUUAGCGGCGGACGGGUGAGUAACACGUGGAUAACCUACCUCUAAGACUUGGAUAACUUCGGGAAACCGGAGCUAAUACCGGAUAAUAUAUUGAACCGCAUGGUUCAAUAGUGAAAGACGGUUUUGCUGUCACUUAUAGAUGGAUCCGCGCCGCAUUAGCUAGUUGGUAAGGUAACGGCUUACCAAGGCAACGAUGCGUAUCCGACCUGAGAGGGUGAACGGGCACACUUGAACUGAGACACGGUCCAGACUUCUAAGGGGAGGAGCAGGAGGGGAUCUUCCGCAAUGGGCGAAAACCUGACGGAGCAAAGACGGGGGAGGGAAGGAGGUCUUCGGAGCGGAAAACUCUGUUAGUAGGGAAGAACAAAUGUGUAAGUAACUAUGCACGGCUUGACGGUACCUAAUCAGAAAGCCACGGCUAACUACGUG
Molecule: ribosomal RNA, 497 nt
Filed under: uncultured bacterium
Lineage: Bacteria
Description: partial 16S ribosomal RNA
Rfam family: Bacterial small subunit ribosomal RNA
Source: RNAcentral